GAAGCCGUUCCGGAGGUUCCCGAACGGGUCGUGCCGGUGCGGAGGCGGCGGGAACGGGAGGCAAUGAAGCGCGGCCGGAGUCCGGCCCGGGGGUAACGCGGCCGAGAGAGCGGCCAUGGCGGCCAACAUGUACCGCGUCGGCGAUUACGUCUACUUUGAGAACUCCUCCAGCAACCCCUACCUCGUCCGCCGCAUCGAGGAGCUCAACAAGACUGCCAAUGGCAACGUGGAGGCCAAGGUGGUUUGCCUGUUCCGCCGCCGGGACAUCUCCAGCAGCCUCAACAGCUUGGCAGACAGCAAUGCCCGCGAAUUUGAGGAGGAAUCCAAGCAGCCCACCAUGACGGAGCAGCAGCGGCAUCAGCUGAAGCACCGCGAGCUUUUCCUCUCCCGGCAGUUCGAAUCGCUGCCAGCCACCCAUAUAAGGGGGAAGUGCAGCGUGACGCUCCUCAAUGAGACCGAUAUCCUGGGGCAGUACUUGGAAAAGGAGGACUGCUUCUUCUACUCGUUGGUGUUCGACCCCGUCCAGAAAACGCUUUUGGCCGAUCAGGGGGAGAUCCGGGUGGGCUGCAAAUACCAAGCAGAGAUCCCAGACCGGCUGGCAGAAGGCGAAUCAGACAACCGGAACCAACAGAAAAUGGAGAUGAAAGUGUGGGACCCCGACAACCCCCUGACAGACCGACAGAUCGACCAGUUCCUGGUGGUGGCACGAGCCGUUGGGACGUUCGCCCGCGCGUUGGAUUGCAGCAGCUCCAUCCGCCAGCCCAGCCUGCACAUGAGUGCAGCUGCUGCAUCCCGGGACAUCACCUUGUUCCACGCCAUGGACACGCUGCAGAGGAACGGGUACGACCUGGCCAAGGCCAUGUCCACGUUGGUGCCGCAGGGGGGGCCGGUGCUGUGCCGGGAUGAGAUGGAGGAGUGGUCGGCUUCCGAGGCCAUGCUGUUCGAGGAGGCCUUGGAGAAGUAUGGCAAGGAUUUCAAUGACAUCCGGCAGGAUUUUCUGCCCUGGAAGUCUUUAGCCAGCAUCGUGCAGUUCUACUACAUGUGGAAGACCACCGACCGCUACAUCCAGCAGAAGAGGCUGAAGGCGGCAGAAGCGGACAGCAAGCUGAAGCAGGUGUACAUCCCCACCUACACGAAGCCAAACCCCAACCAGAUCAUCUCGGUGGGCUCCAAACCCGGCAUGAACGGCGCCGGCUUCCAGAAGGGGCUGACGUGCGAGAGCUGCCACACCACUCAGUCAGCCCAGUGGUACGCCUGGGGCCCCCCCAACAUGCAGUGCCGCCUCUGCGCCUCCUGCUGGAUCUACUGGAAGAAAUACGGGGGGCUGAAGACCCCCACCCAGCUGGAGGGAGCAGCACGCAGCGCCUCGGAGCCCCACUCUCGGGGUCACCUCUCCCGUCCCGAAGCUCAGAGCCUCUCCCCCUACACCACCAGCGCCAGCCGGGCCAAACUGCUGGCCAAGAACCGGCAGACCUUCCUGCUGCAGACCACCCGCCUCACCCGCCUGGCCCGCCGCCUGUGCCGGGACGUCCUGCAGCCCCGCCGCGCCGCCCGCCGCCCCUACGCCCCCAUCAACGCCAACGCCAUCAAAGCAGAGUGUUCCAUCCGCCUGCCUAAGGCUGCCAAGGCGCCGCUGAAGAUCCACCCGCUGGCGCGGCUGCCGCUGGCUGCCAUCGUCAAGGAGCUGGCGGCACAGGCCCCCCUGAAGCCGAAGACGCCGCGGGGUACGAAGACCCCCAUCAACCGGAACCAGCUGAGCCAGAGCCGGGGGCUGGCGGGCCUCGUGGGCAAGCGUGGCUACGAGGGGGGUGCCGAGGGUCACCGCCCCCCCGGGUACGGGUGGGAGCGUCGAGCGUCUCGUUCUCGGCCAACGGGCGCCCCCUACCGGCGGGGCUGCGCGCCGGUCCUCCCCCCGCCAGCAAGCGGCAGAAACUGAACCCCGCCGACGCCCCCAACCCCGUGGUCUUCGUGGCCACCAAGGACACCAGGGCCCUACGGAAGGCGCUGACCCACCUGGAGCUGCGCCGGGCCGCCCGCCGCCCCACGCUGUCCCUCAAGGUGAAGCCAGGGCUGCCCCUACGGCCGGGGGGGGCCCUGCCACCCCCCGCCCCCCCCCACCCCGCCAGCACCUCGGAGCCCAUCGUCCUCGAGGACUGACCCCUCCCCCCCCCACUUCCUCCCUCCGCCCCCACCGCCGGGCUGCGCCCUUUUGUAUUUUUUUUAUUUCCAUAGAAAAACCGCUUUGGGUUUUUAGGGGGGGGGGGAGGGAAGGGGGUGUGGGGACGGUCCCGGCCCGUUUGGUGCCCCUUCCCCUCCCUUCCCCCCCCCCCCGCCCUCCAACCUCCCCCUCCCUCCGCGGGUCCCUUUUCUACGCGUGGAGCGACGCCCCCCGGUUUUGUAUCUCGGGCUGUCCCGGUUCUGUAGCGACAGGAAAUAAACCGACGGCUUUUCUUC
Molecule: RNA transcript, 2454 nt
Organism: Gallus gallus (chicken)
Lineage: Eukaryota; Metazoa; Chordata; Aves; Galliformes; Phasianidae
Gene: MTA2
Gene name: metastasis associated 1 family member 2
Exons: 18
Source: RefSeq, a predicted model, not a curated record